This 343-nucleotide unclassified non-coding RNA is filed under the name soil metagenome. RNAcentral describes it as "partial contains 5.8S ribosomal RNA, internal transcribed spacer 2, and large subunit ribosomal RNA". The stretch from base 1 to 120 matches the Rfam family "5.8S ribosomal RNA", at positions 35 to 154 of the family's 154-position model. The record is from RNAcentral.
GAUGAAGAACGCAGCGAAAUGCGAUAAGUAAUGUGAAUUGCAGAAUUUAGUGAAUCAUCGAAUCUUUGAACGCACAUUGCGCCCGCUAGUAUUCUGGCGGGCAUGCCUGUCCGAGCGUCAUUUCAACCCUCAAGCCCCCGGGCUUGGUGUUGGGGAUCGGCGAGCCUCCGCGCCCGCCGUCCCCUAAAUCUAGUGGCGGUCUCGCUGUAGCUUCCUCUGCGUAGUAGCACACCUCGCACUGGGAAACAGCGCGGCCACGCCGUUAAACCCCCAACUUCUGAACGUUUGACCUCGGAUCAGGUAGGAAUACCCGCUGAACUUAAGCAUAUCAAUAAGCGGAGGA